RNAcentral lists this ribosomal RNA (919 nucleotides) under Salmonella enterica subsp. enterica serovar Typhimurium. Its description in RNAcentral is "partial 23S ribosomal RNA". It matches the Rfam family "Bacterial large subunit ribosomal RNA", at positions 231 to 1190 of the family's 2925-position model. The record is from RNAcentral. Lineage: Bacteria; Pseudomonadati; Pseudomonadota; Gammaproteobacteria; Enterobacterales; Enterobacteriaceae.
GAGAUUCCCCCAGUAGCGGCGAGCGAACGGGGAGGAGCCCAGAGCCUGAAUCAGCAUGUGUGUUAGUGGAAGCGUCUGGAAAGGCGCGCGAUACAGGGUGACAGCCCCGUACACAAAAGCGCAUGUGCUGUGAGCUCGAUGAGUAGGGCGGGACACGUGGUAUCCUGUCUGAAUAUGGGGGGACCAUCCUCCAAGGCUAAAUACUCCUGACUGACCGAUAGUGAACCAGUACCGUGAGGGAAAGGCGAAAAGAACCCCGGCGAGGGGAGUGAAAAAGAACCUGAAACCGUGUACGUACAAGCAGUGGGAGCACCCUUCGGGGUGUGACUGCGUACCUUUUGUAUAAUGGGUCAGCGACUUAUAUUCUGUAGCAAGGUUAACCGUAUAGGGGAGCCGGAGGGAAACCGAGUCUUAACCGGGCGUUAAGUUGCAGGGUAUAGACCCGAAACCCGGUGAUCUAGCCAUGGGCAGGUUGAAGGUUGGGUAACACUAACUGGAGGACCGAACCGACUAAUGUUGAAAAAUUAGCGGAUGACCUGUGGCUGGGGGUGAAAGGCCAAUCAAACCGGGAGAUAGCUGGUUCUCCCCGAAAGCUAUUUAGGUAGCGCCUCGUGAAUUCAUCUCCGGGGGUAGAGCACUGUUUCGGCUAGGGGGCCAUCCCGGCUUACCAACCCGAUGCAAACUGCGAAUACCGGAGAAUGUUAUCACGGGAGACACACGGCGGGUGCUAACGUCCGUCGUGAAGAGGGAAACAACCCAGACCGCCAGCUAAGGUCCCAAAGUCAUGGUUAAGUGGGAAACGAUGUGGGAAGGCCCAGACAGCCAGGAUGUUGGCUUAGAAGCAGCCAUCAUUUAAAGAAAGCGUAAUAGCUCACUGGUCGAGUCGGCCUGCGCGGAAGAUGUAACGGGGCUAAACCAU